Molecule: ribosomal RNA, 467 nt
Filed under: uncultured bacterium
Lineage: Bacteria
Description: partial 16S ribosomal RNA
Rfam family: Bacterial small subunit ribosomal RNA
Source: RNAcentral
GACGAACGCUGGCGGCGUGCUUAACACAUGCAAGUCGAACGGAAAGGCCCUGCUUUUGUGGGGUGCUCGAGUGGCGAACGGGUGAGUAACACGUGAGUAACCUGCCCUUGACUUUGGGAUAACUUCAGGAAACUGGGGCUAAUACCGGAUAGGAGCUCCUGCUGCAUGGGGGGGGUUGGAAAGUUUCGGCGGUUGGGGAUGGACUCGCGGCUUAUCAGCUUGUUGGUGGGGUAGUGGCUUACCAAGGCUUUGACGGGUAGCCGGCCUGAGAGGGUGACCGGCCACAUUGGGACUGAGAUACGGCCCAGACUCCUACGGGAGGCAGCAGUGGGGAAUAUUGCACAAUGGGCGGAAGCCGGAUGCAGCAACGCCGCGUGCGGGAUGACGGCUUUCGGGUUGUAAACCGCUUUCGCCUGUGACGAAGCGUGAGUGACGGUAAUGGGUAAAGAAGCACCGGCUAACUACGU